GACGUAAGUUGCAAGCGUUAUCCGGAAUCACUGGGCAUAAAGGGCAUCUAGGCGGUUACGUAAGUCAGAAGUGAAAAUUCAGGGCUCAACCCUGUCCUUGCUUUUGAAACUGCGUGACUAGAGUACAGGAGAGGAGGGCGGAACUACAAGUGUAGAGGUGAAAUUCGUAGAUAUUUGUAGGAAUGCCGAUGACGAAGGUAGCUCUCUGGACUGAAACUGACGCUGAAGUGCGAAAGCUAGGGUAGCAAACGGG
Molecule: ribosomal RNA, 253 nt
Filed under: uncultured prokaryote
Description: partial 16S ribosomal RNA
Rfam family: Bacterial small subunit ribosomal RNA
Source: RNAcentral